This 92-nucleotide transfer RNA is filed under the name Caudoviricetes sp. RNAcentral's name for it is "tRNA-Arg". It matches the Rfam family "tRNA". From Rfam's summary of the family: Transfer RNA (tRNA) molecules are approximately 80 nucleotides in length. Their secondary structure includes four short double-helical elements and three loops (D, anti-codon, and T loops). Lineage: Duplodnaviria; Heunggongvirae; Uroviricota; Caudoviricetes. The record is from RNAcentral.
GCCGCAGUAGCUCAAAGGUAGAGCCUUCUGCUUUCGGAGGGGUAUAUGCAGAUGAAACGCCCUCGAUCCUGGUUCAACCCCAGGCUGCGGUA